This 497-nucleotide ribosomal RNA is filed under the name uncultured bacterium. RNAcentral's name for it is "partial 16S ribosomal RNA". It matches the Rfam family "Bacterial small subunit ribosomal RNA", at positions 28 to 507 of the family's 1533-position model. The record is from RNAcentral.
GAUGAACGCUGGCGGCGUGCCUAAUACAUGCAAGUCGAGCGAACAGAUAAGGAGCUUGCUCCUUUGACGUUAGCGGCGGACGGGUGAGUAACACGUGGGUAACCUACCUAUAAGACUGGAAUAACUCCGGGAAACCGGGGCUAAUGCAGGAUAACAUGUUGAACCGCAUGGUUCUACAGUGAAAGGCGGCUUUGCUGUCACUUAUAGAUGGACCCGCGCCGUAUUAGCUAGUUGGUGAGGUAACGGCUCACCAAGGCAACGAUACGUAGCCGACCUGAGAGGGUGAUCGGCCACACUGGAACUGAGACACGGUCCAGACUCCUACGGGAGGCAGCAGUAGGGAAUCUUCCGCAAUGGGCGAAAGCCUGACGGAGCAACGCCGCGUGAGUGAUGAAGGUCUUCGGAUCGUAAAACUCUGUUAUUAGGGAAGAACAAAUGCGUAAGUAACUGUGCGCGUCCUGACGGUACCUAAUCAGAAAGCCACGGCUAACUACGUG